RNAcentral lists this ribosomal RNA (253 nucleotides) under uncultured bacterium. RNAcentral describes it as "partial 16S ribosomal RNA". It matches the Rfam family "Bacterial small subunit ribosomal RNA", at positions 524 to 776 of the family's 1533-position model. The record is from RNAcentral.
CACGUAGGGUGCAAGCGUUGUCCGGAAUUAUUGGGCGUAAAGGGCUCGUAGGCGGUCCGUCGCGUCGGGAGUGAAAACUCGGGGCUCAACCCCGAGCCUGCUUUCGAUACGGGCGGACUAGAGGUAGGUAGGGGAGAACGGAAUUCCUGGUGUAGCGGUGGAAUGCGCAGAUAUCAGGAGGAACACCGGUGGCGAAGGCGGCUGCCUGGCCCAAUACUGACACUCAGGUGCGACAGCGUGGGGAGCAAACAGG